This 250-nucleotide ribosomal RNA is filed under the name uncultured bacterium. RNAcentral describes it as "partial 16S ribosomal RNA". It matches the Rfam family "Bacterial small subunit ribosomal RNA", at positions 355 to 622 of the family's 1533-position model. The record is from RNAcentral.
UGGGGAAUCUUGCGCAAUGGGCGAAAGCCUGACGCAGCAACGCCGCGUGCGGGAUGAAGGCCUUCGGGUUGUAAACCGCUUUCAGCAGGGACGAAGAUGACGGUACCUGCAGAAGAAGCCCCGGCCAACUACGUGCCAGCAGCCGCGGUAACACGUAGGGGGCGAGCGUUGUCCGGAUUUAUUGGGCGUAAAGAGCUCGUAGGCGGUUCCGUCAGUCGGGUGUGAAAACUCUGGGCUCAACCCAGAGACG